RNAcentral lists this unclassified non-coding RNA (310 nucleotides) under Hevea brasiliensis (rubber tree). The record is from RNAcentral. Lineage: Eukaryota; Viridiplantae; Streptophyta; Magnoliopsida; Malpighiales; Euphorbiaceae.
GGGGGUGGGAAGGGGGGGAAUCUUGCCUAUAAACCAAGCAUCCUCUCUCUACUCAGUAAUGGAAGGCAGAUGUAGAUGCAAAACUUUGACCCCCAGGGGAAUGAACAUUCAAAGGGAAAGACGGGAUGGCAAAAUAACUUUUUGAUUAACAUCUUACCAUCCCAAGUUAAAAAAGGGAAAAAAAAUUGUCAAGAAUGCCAUGGCUGAUUCUAAAUCUGGAAUGCAUAGAUGAUUCCCCUUGCUUCGAAAUGGUUACAUUGUGAAGGCAAUAUGCACAUGAGAAAACAAUUAUCCUGAUGAUCUCCAGAUC